This 1497-nucleotide ribosomal RNA is filed under the name Triticum aestivum (bread wheat). RNAcentral's name for it is "partial small subunit ribosomal RNA". The record is from RNAcentral. Lineage: Eukaryota; Viridiplantae; Streptophyta; Magnoliopsida; Poales; Poaceae.
AUGUUAGACACAAACCUUUCAAUCUUGUGCUGGAAUGUACGCGGGUUAAAUUGCCCGGAUCGUCGUGCUGCUGUCCACGAAACCGUUGCUUCUUCUUCCUGUCAACUUGUGUGCAUCCAAGAGUCGAAGCUACAAUCUAUUGACCUGUUCUUGGCUAUGUACCUCGGUGGUCAGCGUCUAAAGAGCUUCGCCCAAAGACCAGCUGAUGGCACAAAAGGCGGUAUUCUGCUGCUGUGGGAUGACUCCGCGGUCACGGUGUCAAAUGUGCAAAUUGGUGCCUACUUCCUCUCCGCGACGGUUGCCAUCAACAACUACGGCGACGACAAAUCUUUCAAGUUAACCACUGUGUAUGGCCAAACCCGUAGCAUCCACAAGGAGGCUUUCUACCUGGAGCUGAUCUCGGAAAAGCCUCCGCCUGGUACCAAAUGGCUAGUCAAUGGUGAUUUUAAUCAAAUCUACCGCGCCAGAGACAAAAACCGAGCCAAUGUGGAUCGUGGCCGCCUCGUGCGUUUCCGCAACGCCCUAAACAAUUGUGAGCUCAAGGAGAUUCACAUGCAAAACAGGAGAUUUACUUGGAGCAACGAACAAAGUAACCCGACGAUGAGCAAGCUAGAUAGCUUUUUUUGCAACGAAGAUUGGGAUUUAGAGUUUGCCUCCCACAUUCUGCACACCCUCUCCUCAUCACUUUCGGACCACUGCCCCCUGCUUGCUAAUGAUGUUGGCCCAAAGAAGCCUAAAUCCUUCCGGUUUGAAAACUUCUGGACAAAGAUGCCGGGAUUCCAACACGUCGUCUCCGAGGCAUGGAAUAUGAAUUCCGGUCAUGUCGAGCCUUAUCAACGGCUAUUCCACAAGCUAAAGAGAACAGGACAAAAGUUGCGCUCCUGGAGCAAGACCCUUUUUUCUAACUCCAGGGUCCAGUUGCACAUGGCUCUCAAGGUCAUCCUUCACCUUGACCUUGCUCAAGAACAGAGAGGCCUAAGCCCGGAGGAAAGGGAUCUUUGGGCAAGAUUAAAACGAAGGAUUGUUGGCUUGGCGGUGCUCGAAAAAUCCAGAAAAAGGCAAAACUCGAGGAUUACCAAUCUUAAAGAAGGAGAUGCCAACACCCGUUAUUUCCACCUCCGUGUCAAUCAUCGGAGGAGAAAAAAAAAUCUUAUUCAUCGCCUCAAACACAACCAGGGUUGGGUCACCUCGCACGAAGACAAAGAGAAGAUUGUUCACAGCCACUUUAAGAACAUUGCCAAAAAAGGCCCUUCUCGUAGCAUUGACGUCAAUUGGGGUUUGAUUCCAACCCCCAACUGUGAUCUACAGGGCUUGGACGAGGCAUUCACGGAGGAUGAGGUCAAAGUUGCUGUACUAGAACUUUCGGGUGACAAGGCGCCCGGACCGGAUGGCUUCACGGGCACUUUCUUCAAGGCAUGUUGGAACACAAUCAAGCCAGACAUCAUGCGCUGGUCAAUCAUUUCUCCAACCUACAGACCACUCACCUUCAUUGGUUGA